GCUCACAUAGCACAGCGGUAGUGCACUUCCUUGGUAAGGAAGAGGUCACUGGUUCGAUUCCAGUUGUGAGCACCA
RNAcentral lists this transfer RNA (75 nucleotides) under Gammaproteobacteria bacterium. RNAcentral's name for it is "tRNA-Thr". It matches the Rfam family "tRNA". Rfam says of the family: Transfer RNA (tRNA) molecules are approximately 80 nucleotides in length. Their secondary structure includes four short double-helical elements and three loops (D, anti-codon, and T loops). The record is from RNAcentral. Lineage: Bacteria; Pseudomonadati; Pseudomonadota; Gammaproteobacteria.